CGGGGUUAAUAAUCAAGGGUAUGUAAACUUUUGAACUGGUUCCUUUGUGUAAAUUCAGGUAUGUGUGUGUCUCGUGGACUAUACGUAAUAACCUGUUAUGUGAAAUAGUGUAUUCAGGCCAGGACUAAAUAAACAGUACAACACAAUUUUAAUGAUUCCUCUAAUUGAUUCAUUUUUAAAGACUAACCUCCUCGCUGAAUGAGUUUUUAUUCAGAUCGAAAAAACCCAAGAUAAACAAGCGGGGCUUUCAUCCUUCGUUUAGAGAACAACUGAAGGACAUUGACACACAGGAGCGGAUUUCAACAUUCCCAAAUGUGUCUCACAUCAGUUUCACAACACACUUCUCUUUCAGAAGGAGCUUCAGGAGGAACUGUAACUUCAACCUCACACCAGCUGUAACAUCACCGUGAAGACCCAACGCUACUGAGAUACUAUACCACACUCCCACACAAACACUAAUAUAAUGAUAUAACCAGCACACACCUGUCUCACAUCCCGACGUUCAAUAUAACCGUCACACACCUGUCUCACAUCCCGACGUUCAGUAUAACCGUCACACGCCCGUCUCACAUCCCGACGUUCAAUAUAACCGUCACACACCUGUCUCACAUCCCGACGUUCAAUAUAACCAGCACACACCCGUCUCACAUCCCUACAUUCAGUAUAACCGUCACACACCCGUCUCACAUCCCGACGUUCAAUAUAACCAGCACACACCCGUCUCACAUCCCGACGUUCAAUAUAACCAGCACACACCUGUCUCACAUCCCGACGUUCAAUAGAACCGUCACACACCUGUCUCACAUCCUGACGUUCAGUAUAACCGUCACACGCCCGUCUCACAUCCCUACAUUCAAUAUAACCAGCACACACCCGUCUCACAUCCCUACAUUCAGUAUAAUGAUGAUCACACACCUGUCUCACAUCCCUACAUUCAGUAUAACCAUCACACGCCCGUCUCACAUCCCUACAUUCAGUAUAACCGUCACACGCCCGUCUCACAUCCCGACGUUCAGUAUAACCGUCACACGCCCGUCUCACAUCCCUACAUUCAGUAUAACCAGCACACGCCCGUCUCACAUCCCUACAUUCAGUAUAACCGUCACGCGCCCGUCUCACAUCCCUACAUUCAGUAUAACCGUCACGCGCCCGUCUCACAUCCCGACGUUCAGUAUAACCAUCACACCUGUCUCACAUCCCGACAUUCAGUAUAACCAUCACACACCCGUCUCACAUCCCUACAUUCAGUAUAACCGUUACACGCCCGUCUCACAUCCCUACAUUCAGUAUAACCAUCACACCUGUCUCACAUCCCUACAUUCAGUAUAAUGAUCACACACCCGUCUCACAUCCCUACAUUCAGUAUAACCAUCACACCUGUCUCACAUCCCUACAUUCAGUAUAAUGAUCACACACCUGUCUCACAUCCCUACAUUCAGUAUAAUGAUCACACACCUGUCUCACAUCCUUACAUUCAGUAUAAUGAUCACACACCUGUCUCACAUCCCUACAUUCAGUAUAAUG
Long non-coding RNA from Ictalurus punctatus (channel catfish), 1524 nucleotides. NCBI's taxonomy places the organism in Eukaryota, Metazoa, Chordata, Actinopteri, Siluriformes, Ictaluridae. The record is from Ensembl.